This is a long non-coding RNA of Ficedula albicollis (Collared flycatcher), 1861 nucleotides long. RefSeq lists it as uncharacterized. The record is from RefSeq and is a predicted model, not a curated record. Lineage: Eukaryota; Metazoa; Chordata; Aves; Passeriformes; Muscicapidae. The transcript has 2 exons.
AAAAAAAAGAUAAAUUAGGGGAAGUUUGAAUUUUAAAUAAUUCAGUUUAAUAGGCUAAACUAUAUAAACUAAUUCCUAUUCACUAGGAAACAUCCCAUAUCACUGUCCUAAGAAAAUGGGUUUUUCUAAAAAUCCAUUGAAAAAUGGAUUUUUAUUAGUAGUUAAAAGAUUACUAAUCAAUUCCUGAGCAACAGCAACCUCAUCAUCUACUGCUUUCCCCAUCCAAGUCCCACUCAGCGAGGGCAGGCUCUCACUCCUAAAAAGUUUAAGUAGAACAGAGACCUAAAAAGUUGGGUUUUAAUUGGAAAUCGAUCACUUCAAAGAUUAAUAGGUUAAAAAAGCCAAGCAGGAUGGAUCAACCCAUUCCACCUUUUUCCUCAAUAACUCCAGAGACAAAACUUUUAAAAAAAUUAUUUGACUGCACCAGAAAAGCAACCAGAUGUACCUCGAGAAAACCAAAGGAUCACAAAUCUGAGAACUUCAGGGUUAGCAUCAAACUUUGAAUUUUCAGAUGUGAUUUUAUUUUUAUACCAUAAAGAACUCAAGGAGCCUCUUCAGGAAGGUCCCAAACCUUUUUGCAAAAAGCAAAAUUACUGGAGAAUUAUUUCCCAAAUUUUGUUGUCUCGGGUUUAAACCCUGAAGUUCCCUAUAACAGCAUCUUUCAAUGCAAUAUUCAGGCUAAAUAGAUAUUUAUAUAUUUAUAAUGUAAGGAUAAAUAAAAUAUGGCACAACAACAUUUUAAAACUGGAACUGCAGCUUUUAGUGAAAACCUGAUCCGCAAUUGGAGCGGAAAAUGGAAAUGAAGCAACAAACAAAGGAAGAAAAAAACCCUUUAAAACCAGAAAGACUUCAAAUAUUCACACACUGACUGCACAUCUGUGCUCCCAAAACUCCAAUUCCUGUGAUUUUUCCUCAGUGCUGCAAAGAUAGUUCACAAAAACACUGUGUAGUUUCUGCUCCCCGAAAGGAUUUUGGGUUCAGAGCCCUGUCUAAAGCCCUCCCUGCUCCCAAUCCUUAAUCCUCUCUGUGCUUUUGGCUCAGGCAAAACAACAAGAAAAGCAGAAUUUUCCAUGACAGCCACGCCUGGGAGUUGGGAUAACUCCAGGGUGGAGUGACCCAGGGCAGAACACACAGAGAAUGCUCAGGUUUCCACACCCUGGAUCAGAAUUUCAGCACCAAAAGCAAAUGGGUCACACAGGAGCCACCUCAGCAUCAGCACAGGAGAAAUCCCAGAAUGCUGGGGAAAUCCUGCUCCAGAGCUGCAGCCCUGGGACAGGGACAGGGACAGGGAGCCAGGACAGGUGGCCCCAGGUUUGGGGCAGCUCCAGACCCAGCUGAGGAGGGAAGGAGGAACAGGAGGGGAAUCACCAUGAGCAGCCUGAGAACAGCUCCCAGAGCUGGGAGUCUCCCCUGCCAGCAAUCUGCAGGACCUGCAGGGGCAGAGGAGCCAGAGCACCCUGAGGGCACAGGUGGCACAGGUCCCACAGGUGGCACAGGUCCCACAGGUGACACAAGUCCCACAGGUGGCACAAGUGGCACAGGUCCCACAGGUGGCACAGGUCCCACAGAUCCUACAGGUGACACAGGUGGCACAGGUCCCACAGGUGGCACAGGUCCCACAGGUCCCACAGGUGACACAAGUGGCACAAGUCCCACAGGUGGCACAGGUCCCACAGGUGGCACAGGUCCCACAGAUCCUACAGGUGACACAGGUGGCACAGGUCCCACAGGUGGCACAGGUCCCACAGAUCCUACAGGUGACACAGGUGACACAAGUCCCACAGGUGGCACAGGUGGCACAGGUCCCACAGGUCCCCAGUGCCAAGUUGGCCCCCAAAGGGAGCCAGAGGAGCUGCAAGCA